GCCAAUCAUUUUUUUAAUGAAAAAGCCUAAUAAGAUCACCAAUGCCACCAAUCUUGGCUAAGCUUAUAUAAGGUCAAUAUCAACACUCUUUUCAUCCCCUAAAACACAACCAACCUCUCUUGCAGCCACCAAGUUUUCCUCCCAAAUCCUCUUCCCUCUCUAUUUUCCAAGAACAUGGAGUUCUCAACCUUCCACCGCUCUACAUGGAAUUCUUUCUUCACCUCUCCUCUCCUCUUUCCUUAUCAUUUCAUUCCUGAAAAUUAUGUUCAUUGGAGAGAGACCCCUGAAUCUCACAUAUAAUCUGCUGAUCUUCCAGGUCUGAAGAAAGAGGAAAUAAAGGUGGAAGUUGAGGAUUCAAGAUACCUGAUAAUAAGAACUGAAGCUGCCAAUGAAACCACAGAACCAACAAGGAGUUUCUUGAGGAAAUUUCGGCUACCUGGAAUGGUGGAUAUGAAUGGAAUUUGUGCUAGUUAUAGAGAUGGUGUUUUGACAAUAACAGUUCCAAGAACACUUGUGAGAAGGGGAUUUUUCAUUGAGCCAGCUGACUUGCCAGAAAGGAUGGUGAAUCUUGGUGCUAGAGCUGCUUGAUAUAUUUUUUCCAAACAAGAUUGGUUAAUAUUCGUAAUACUUAAUCUUGUAAACAUUGAUUGUUUCGGGAGGAAUGGUCAUGCUCAGGAAUAGACAAUGAUUUGAAGAUUGUGCUCUCUUUGAGUAUCUGUACAUACUAUUGUGCUUUCUUUGAGUAUCUGUACAUACUUUAGAUUAAUGAUAAUCCUUAAACUAAAUUUGCUGUCGUUCCAAAAA
Molecule: long non-coding RNA, 804 nt
Organism: Nicotiana attenuata
Lineage: Eukaryota; Viridiplantae; Streptophyta; Magnoliopsida; Solanales; Solanaceae
Exons: 2
Source: RefSeq, a predicted model, not a curated record